GCACUAAUAUUCAUGAAUUCUUAAAAGUUUCUUUGUAGUAAUUUGGAAGUUAUUAAUCAUUGUCGGACAGAAGAGAUUUUAUUCAGUUGUGGAAAAACAUGGCAAAAAAAAGUUGGCUCAAGUUGUUGAAUUUCUGCUUCCAUUGAAAAGCUGAUUGAACAUGAAACUGGAGAACCUGUAAUUACUCCAAUGGAAUGAUUAUGGGACAGUGAAAAUCUGAUCAGCCUAGGUGGUUACUGCGUGAUGAAGAAACAGUAAUGGCGUGAAUAACGUGGACCUUGUCCAGUGUUUAUCUCAGUUUGCAUCUUGGUUCUGCAAAGCACGAACAGCUUAACUGAGUAUGAAAGGGCAGUGAACUGCCUAUGGUUUGCUUCUUUACAUGGUGAUUAAGAAUUCAAUAACUUGGAAUAUAAUUUUUAUGCUACUGUAUGACCAAAAUAUCCUCUCAACUUCCUGUGCUUGUGAGGUUUGAAGGAAAAAAAGGCCAUAUUCUUCAAUUAUGCAAUGGAUAACUAUUAAUUUUCUAACAUUUUUUUCCAACGAGUGCUUGCUAUAAAAAUGUAAAAUGAUGCCAGAAGCUUUAGCAUGUAUUAUUCACACAGUAAUUUUGGUUUAUUUCCUUCUAGACUUUUUCCCAGUGCAUAUUUUUUAGAACAGUUGUAAUCAUCUAGUAUUUGUAAUUUACUCUGACUUUUAAAAAAGUAGUGUUAAAAAUAUUACUUAUGUUUAUAAUAACAAAAAAAUCUGGAAAAAAGGUAAAUACACACCAUACUCAAUGACUCAUGGCACUUUUAAAGGUAUUGGUUAUGAAAACAUAUCACUUAUUUAACAAUCCCCAUAUAACUGGCUAUAUGGACUCUAUUUUCUGUUUUGUUAUUAUGAAGGAGACAAAUAUUGCAAUGCAUUUUUUUUUAAUGCAGAUAGAUUCUUCCAGAGUUUUUUUUUUUUUUUUUUUUCUUUUCUAGGGCCGCACCCGUGGCAUAUGGAAGUUCCUGGGCCAGGGGUUGAAUCGGAGCUGUUGCCGCCGGCCUACGCCACAGCCACAGCCACAGCCACAGCCACAACAACUCGGGAUCCGAGCCUUGUCUGCAGCCUACACCACAGCUCACGGAAACGCCAGAUCCUUAACCCGCUGAGCAAGGCCAGGGAUCUAACCCAAAUCCUCAUGGUUCCUAGUUGGAUUCAUUAACCACUGAGCCAUGACGGGAACUCCAGAGUUUUGACUGUUUGGAGAAAAUUCUACAAAGGAAAUUCGUGAGUGAAAAUUUGUAAAGCUCUUUUUAUGAUAUCUGAUGUAGAAAGACCUAUUUGUUUUCAAGUGUUGUUGACUAGCUUAGAAAUAAAAGGAGGUUUUAUUAUAUGUAAGCGACUUUUCAAGUUAACAGUAAGAAAGGAAAGCACAUCUUGAUGGCUGAAGCCAGGGACUUAAAUGACCUGGGCCUUUUUCUCACUGUUUUUUCCAAGGUCAGGUCAAGCUCAUUGUAUUCAUUUGCUGGUCAACUUUUUUUCUUCCUCCAAGAGGAAACUCAGCCUCUCCAAACUGCAGCAUUUAUACUAUCAAUAAGGGACUGGAUUUAAUUCAUAGAAGAAAUAUCCUAGAGAACUACUUUAAUCCGGGCCUGCCUUGGUCAGGGAGCUGCUUUGGACUAGGCCAAGUGGGGCAAGUGUCCAUAACAGAGAAUAGGUCUCAGAGGCCCAGGUCUUUUUUUUUUAAGGACCACAUCCGUGGCAUAUGGAAGUUCCCAAGUUAGGGGUUGGAUUGGAGCUGUAGCUGCUGGCCUAAGCCACAGCCACAGUAACUCCAGAUCUGAGCUGCAUCUGUGACUACACCACAGCUCACAAGCAAUGCCAGAUCCUUAACCCACUGAGUGAGGCCAGGGACCGAACCCGCCACCUCAUUCAUUGUUCCUAGUCGCAUUCGUUUCUGCUGCACCAUGAUGGGAACUCAUGAAUAAAUAUUUAGAAGCUUGUGCAAAUGUAUCCUUGGAGACAUCUUGUGAGUGAGGGGCUGUGGAGCAGGACCUUUCUUUCAGACGUUUGCUGACCAUGUGAUAUUUGGGAAGAACGUGGAUGAUACCCUGGGGAACUUGAAGGGUAUGAGCGAUACUUACUGGGAAGGAGAUGGGACAUCUAAAAUCAUAACUUGCCUUGUUUGUGGUCUGGGUCAGACGUGCCUUAUUCAGGUAUAUAAAGUAUCUGAUGUUGAUGAGAGAGUCAAAGAGAAUAUUCUUUCUACUUUGUUAUAGGUGUAGAUGAUGCCUGGGCUAAAAGAACCAACUUCAAGUUCUCACUCAAAUAGACCACUGGACUAUGGCAUUAGGAAAGGCUGAAGUGCCCCUGGAAACUAGUCAAAAAGUUUUUCAAAGUUGAUUGUGUGGUGCAGGCAAUAAGGUUGAUUCUCCAGAGAAGCAUUUUUUCCUUUUUAUUUCUUCUACAUCAAAACUGUUUUUCCCUCUGUUCUGAGUACGAUGCUCUGUUGGUUUACGAUGCAUCCUCUUUACAGAGGACGUCUGUUUUAUUUCUUUUUAAAAUUCCAUGAACCUUGAAAUAAAUUCUUUUUAUUUAGUA
RNAcentral lists this long non-coding RNA (2568 nucleotides) under Sus scrofa (pig). RNAcentral's name for it is "lncRNA (ENSSSCG00015010194.1)". The record is from RNAcentral. Lineage: Eukaryota; Metazoa; Chordata; Mammalia; Artiodactyla; Suidae.